RNAcentral lists this ribosomal RNA (497 nucleotides) under uncultured bacterium. Its description in RNAcentral is "partial 16S ribosomal RNA". It matches the Rfam family "Bacterial small subunit ribosomal RNA", at positions 28 to 507 of the family's 1533-position model. The record is from RNAcentral.
GAUGAACGCUGGCGGCGUGCCUAAUACAUGCAAGUCGAGCGAACAGAUAAGGAGCUUGCUCCUUUGAUGUUAGCGGCGGACGGGUGAGUAACACGUGGGUAACCUACCUAUAAGACUGGAAUAACUCCGGGAAACCGGGGCUAAUGCAGGAUAACAUGUUGAACCGCAUGGUUCUACAGUGAAAGGCGGCUUUGCUGUCACUUAUAGAUGGACCCGCGCCGUAUUAGCUAGUUGGUGAGGUAACGGCUCACCAAGGCAACGAUACGUAGCCGACCUGAGAGGGUGAUCGGCCACACUGGAACUGAGACACGGUCCAGACUCCUACGGGAGGCAGCAGUAGGGAAUCUUCCGCAAUGGGCGAAAGCCUGACGGAGCAACGCCGCGUGAGUGAUGAAGGUCUUCGGAUCGUAAAACUCUGUUAUUAGGGAAGAACAAAUGCGUAAGUAACUGUGCGCGUCUUGACGGUACCUAAUCAGAAAGCCACGGCUAACUACGUG